UACGUAGGGGGCGAGCGUUGUCCGGAAUUACUGGGCGUAAAGGGUGCGUAGGUGGCUAAUUAAGUUGGAUGUGAAAUACCCGGGCUUAACCUGGGGGGUGCAUUCAAAACUGGUUGGCUAGAGUGCAGGAGAGGGAAGCGGAAUUCCUAGUGUAGCGGUGAAAUGCGUAGAUAUUAGGAGGAACACCAGUGGCGAAGGCGGCUUUCUGGACUGUAACUGACACUGAGGCACGAAAGCGUGGGGAGCAAACAGGAUUAGAUACCCUGGUAGUCCACGCUGUAAACGAUGAAUACUAGGUGUAGGGGGUAUGAACUCCCCCUGUGCCGGAGCAAACGCAAUAAGUAUUCCGCCUGGGGAGUACGGCCGCAAGGUUGAA
This 376-nucleotide ribosomal RNA is filed under the name uncultured bacterium. RNAcentral's name for it is "bacterial SSU rRNA". It matches the Rfam family "Bacterial small subunit ribosomal RNA", at positions 524 to 898 of the family's 1533-position model. The record is from RNAcentral.